AACGCAUCUUGCGCUCCUUGGUAUUCCGAGGAGCAUGCCUGUUUGAGUGUCAUUUGACUUAUCAACCACAUCAUCUUUUUUGAAAAUGUGGCUUGGAUGUGGGGGGGAUGUAUAUUCCUUUGCAGGCUUCAACGAAAGCCGGCUCCCCUGAAAUGCAUUAGUGGUAUCUGAGCUGCUAUUGGUGUGAUAAAUUAUCUAUGCCUUUGGUUAUGCUGGUCAGCGCUGCUUAUAACGACCCAAUCAUUUGACAAAUUUGACCUCAAAUCAGGUAGGACUACCCGCUGAACUUAA
Molecule: unclassified non-coding RNA, 291 nt
Filed under: uncultured Inocybe
Lineage: Eukaryota; Fungi; Basidiomycota; Agaricomycetes; Agaricales; Cortinariaceae
Description: sequence contains ITS2
Rfam family: 5.8S ribosomal RNA (bases 1-52)
Source: RNAcentral